GGUUAUGGCUCAAGGGUAGAGCAGUUGCCUACCAUGCAUGAGGCACUGGGUUUGAUCCUCAGCACCA
Molecule: transfer RNA, 67 nt
Filed under: Marmota monax (woodchuck)
Lineage: Eukaryota; Metazoa; Chordata; Mammalia; Rodentia; Sciuridae
Description: tRNA.Gly
Source: RNAcentral